This 238-nucleotide long non-coding RNA is filed under the name Gallus gallus (chicken). Lineage: Eukaryota; Metazoa; Chordata; Aves; Galliformes; Phasianidae. The record is from RNAcentral.
UUAAGGACCUUUCCAACCCAAUCAUCCUAUGGUUCUGUGAUCUUUAAGGACCUUUCCAACCCAACCAUCCUAUCGUCCUGUGACUUUUAAGGACCCUUGCAACCCCACCAUUCUAUGGCAAUGAUUCUGUGAUGAAUACUCAGCACCAGAGGCUUUGUCCAAGGGUGAUUCCCCCUCUGGAAGAUGCUACAAGGUGCUCUUCCACCAAUUCCAGAAUCUGCCUCAAGAUGGUGCUCCG